GACUUGGCCGUUAGGGAAUAUAAGAAGGCAAAAUCAAUUGCUCUCCCCUCCCAUGUAAAAAUACUAAAACGAGUCCUUGAAGAUUAUGAAAAAGUUAUGCAAGAAUUCAAAGGCACGCUUUACAAGUCUAUGAAAGAUCCACAAAUAGACCUAACCAGCCUUGAGAAUACAGUAAGGUUGUUGUUGGAGCUUGAACCUGAG
Long non-coding RNA from Gossypium raimondii (Peruvian cotton), 201 nucleotides. RefSeq lists it as uncharacterized. The record is from RefSeq and is a predicted model, not a curated record. The transcript has 3 exons. Lineage: Eukaryota; Viridiplantae; Streptophyta; Magnoliopsida; Malvales; Malvaceae.